CCCUUAGAUGUCCUGGACCGCACGCGCGCUACGCUGAGUGUCUGAGAUACGAGUCUGCCUGGUCCGGCAAGGUCUAGGUAAUCGCUAAAAGACACAUCAUGCUUGGGAUAGAUUAUUGCAAAUAUUAAUCUUGAACGAGGAAUUCCUAGUAAGCGCAAGUCAACAGCUUGCGUUGAUUACGUCCCUGCCCUUUGUACACACCGCCCGUCGCUACUACUGAUUGGAUGUUUAAGCGAGGUUCUCGAACUGCUAGCGACUUAGCUUCGGUGAGGUCGCAGUGUGGGAAGUGAACCUAGCUUUGGUGUCUAGAGGAAGUAAAAGUCGUAACA
RNAcentral lists this ribosomal RNA (329 nucleotides) under uncultured eukaryote. Its description in RNAcentral is "partial 18S ribosomal RNA". It matches the Rfam family "Eukaryotic small subunit ribosomal RNA", at positions 1470 to 1796 of the family's 1831-position model. The record is from RNAcentral.